ACUGGAGUUUGAUCCUGGCUCAGGACGAACGCUGGCGGCAUGCUUUACACAUGCAAGUCGAACGGUAGAGGGGGCAACCCCUUGAGAGUGGCGAACGGGUGAGUAAUAUAUCGGAACGUGCCCAGUCGUGGGGGAUAACGUAGCGAAAGUUACGCUAAUACCGCAUACGAUCUAAGGAUGAAAGCGGGGGAUCGCAAGACCUCGCGCGAUUGGAGCGGCCGAUAUCAGAUUAGGUAGUUGGUGGGGUAAAGGCUCACCAAGCCAACGAUCUGUAGCUGGUCUGAGAGGACGACCAGCCACACUGGAACUGAGACACGGUCCAGACUCCGUACGGGAGCAGCAGUAGG
This 347-nucleotide ribosomal RNA is filed under the name uncultured Comamonadaceae bacterium. RNAcentral's name for it is "bacterial SSU rRNA". It matches the Rfam family "Bacterial small subunit ribosomal RNA", at positions 1 to 358 of the family's 1533-position model. The record is from RNAcentral. Lineage: Bacteria; Pseudomonadati; Pseudomonadota; Betaproteobacteria; Burkholderiales; Comamonadaceae.